AGUGAACGCUGGCGGUAGGCCUAACACAUGCAAGUCGAACGGCAGCACAGUAAGAGCUUGCUCUUACGGGUGGCGAGUGGCGGACGGGUGAAGAAUACAUCGGAAUCUACUUUUUCGUGGGGGAUAACGUAGGGAAACUUACGCUAAUACCGCAUACGACCUACGGGUGAAAGCAGGGGAUCUUCGGACCUUGCGCGAUUGAAUGAGCCGAUGUCGGAUUAGCUAGUUGGCGGGGUAAAGGCCCACCAAGGCGACGAUCCGUAGCUGGUCUGAGAGGAUGAUCAGCCACACUGGAACUGAGACACGGUCCAGACUCCUACGGGAGGCAGCAGUGGGGAAUAUUGGACAAUGGGCGCAAGCCUGAUCCAGCCAUACCGCGUGAGUGAAGAAGGCCUUCGGGUUGUAAAGCCCUUUUGUUGGGAAAGAAAAGCAGCAGGUUAAUACCCCGCUGUUCUGACGGUACCCAAAGAAUAAGCACCGGCUAACUUCGUG
This 492-nucleotide ribosomal RNA is filed under the name uncultured bacterium. RNAcentral's name for it is "partial 16S ribosomal RNA". It matches the Rfam family "Bacterial small subunit ribosomal RNA", at positions 29 to 507 of the family's 1533-position model. The record is from RNAcentral.